Molecule: ribosomal RNA, 451 nt
Filed under: uncultured bacterium
Lineage: Bacteria
Description: partial 16S ribosomal RNA
Rfam family: Bacterial small subunit ribosomal RNA
Source: RNAcentral
GUGGGGAAUAUUGGACAAUGGGGGGAACCCUGAUCCAGCCAUGCCGCGUGUGUGAAGAAGGCCUUUUGGUUGUAAAGCACUUUAAGCGAGGAGGAGGCUACCGAGAUUAAUACUCUUGGAUAGAGGACGUUACUCGCAGAAUAAGCACCGGCUAACUCUGUGCCAGCAGCCGCGGUAAUACAGAGGGUGCAAGCGUUAAUCGGAUUUACUGGGCGUAAAGCGCGCGUAGGUGGCCAAUUAAGUCAAAUGUGAAAUCCCCGAGCUUAACUUGGGAAUUGCAUUCGAUACUGGUUGGCUAGAGUAUGGGAGAGGAUGGUAGAAUUCCAGGUGUAGCGGUGAAAUGCGUAGAGAUCUGGAGGAAUACCGAUGGCGAAGGCAGCCAUCUGGCCUAAUACUGACACUGAGGUGCGAAAGCAUGGGGAGCAAACAGGAUUAGAAACCCUAGUAGUCC